AGUGAACGCUGGCGGCAUGCCUAACACAUGCAAGUCGAACGAGAUUUUUCUGAGAUUACAUCAAGGGAAAGUCGAGUGGCAGACGGGUGAGUAAUACGUGGACAAUCUUCCUUCGAGAGGGGGGAUAACCCCGGGAAACCGGGGCUAAUACCGCGUGAGACCACGUCCCCGCAUGGGGACGGGGCUAAAGCUCCGCAAGGGGCGCUUGAAGAGGAGUCCACGGCCUAUCAGCAGUUGGUGAGGUAACGGCUUACCAAGGCUACGACGGGUAAGCGGUCUGAAAGGACGACCGGCUCACAAUGGCACUGAGACACGGGCCAUACUCCUACGGGAGGCAGCAGUGGGGAAUUUGCGCAAGUGGGGGAAACCCUGACGCAGCGAUGCCGCGUGGAGGACGAAGGUCUCGGAUUGU
This 412-nucleotide ribosomal RNA is filed under the name uncultured bacterium. RNAcentral describes it as "bacterial SSU rRNA". It matches the Rfam family "Bacterial small subunit ribosomal RNA", at positions 29 to 426 of the family's 1533-position model. The record is from RNAcentral.